AUGUGUCCCACCCCUCACCCCCACCUGUGGGCAUCCUGUUUGGAUGGGGGGCUCCUUGUGAACCUAUUGAACUUUCAGAGGGUAGCCUUUUGUUUGCACCUCUGCCCUCUGGCCUUAGGAUCAUUACUCCAAGUCCCCUACCCCUUUCCUGGGGGUGGCACCUGGACUUCAUUGUGUGCAGGUGCUCCUGCUCUUUACCAAGAUGCUGGCUUGUUGCUGUCUGUGCUUCCACCCACCAGGAGAGUGUUUCAGCUGAUUCCUGUCUUAGCUUUACUGCAUCCAGGCCAAGGAACAGAGACUCAGAAGUUAAUCCUGCUUCAAAAUGAAUUUCUACAUCAACCUACUGAUAACUAACCUGACCAGUCUGAAUGACUCUGCAGCAGAGGUGAGCUGAUAGUAAUCAAAUAACUGCCUCAUCACAUUACCACAGUCCUUAUUUAUGUUCUCUGUACCACUAGACUAUAAAUACCUUGAAGGCAGAGUGUAUCUUUUACCUGUAGAUCCUCAGUAACAUCACAGUAUAACAUAAUUGAUUGUUUCAUGGGCUAACUCUAGAUUUUGGGUUGGAAUGAGAGAAAAUGUAAACUAACCUGGUAUUUAUUGGGCAUCUGUUCAGAAGUUAAAUUAACUUGUUGUAAGUCAUUUGCUUUUGAUUUUCACUGUAAUCCUGUGUAUAUGUCCUUGUAGAGAUAUUUCUGAGCCAAGUCAUUAUAAGUAAUUUUAAUAGUGGUAGGAGCUACUUGAUUUAUUAUUUGCCAUAUACUGUGAAAAAUUUUUGGCAAAUAUCCUGUGAUUAAAUACAGUACUCUUGUGAAAUUACUCCAGAUUACUACUUGGAGAGAUUACUCUUCAUUUUAUAGAUAAGGAUACUAAGGCCCAAUAAGCUUUCUAAAGGCGAGGAUUUAAGCCUGGGUCUGCCUGAGGCUAAAGCUGUGUUCUUAAUCAUUUUGAUCUAUACCCACCAUAUGCUCAGACUUUAAAAUUUGACUUGAGAAUGGACUAAAUCUUUUAGUAUUAUAUUUAAUAGUGACAUGAAUAAUUUUCAUCAUAAAUUGUUGACAUCUACAUUUAAGACAAUAUAUAAUGAUUCCUAAUCACUGGACACCAGAGUGAAUUUGGCAGAGUGGAGUUUGUAC
This 1136-nucleotide long non-coding RNA is filed under the name Canis lupus familiaris (dog). RNAcentral describes it as "lncRNA (ENSCAFG00040023455.1)". Lineage: Eukaryota; Metazoa; Chordata; Mammalia; Carnivora; Canidae. The record is from RNAcentral.